RNAcentral lists this ribosomal RNA (253 nucleotides) under uncultured bacterium. Its description in RNAcentral is "partial 16S ribosomal RNA". It matches the Rfam family "Bacterial small subunit ribosomal RNA", at positions 524 to 776 of the family's 1533-position model. The record is from RNAcentral.
UACGUAGGGCGCAAGCGUUAUCCGGAAUUAUUGGGCGUAAAGGGCUCGUAGGCGGUCUGUCGCGUCGAAAGUGAAAACCCAGGGCUUAACCCUGGGCCUGCUUCCGAUACGGGCAGACUAGAGGUAUGCAGGGGAGAACGGAAUUCCUGGUGUAGCGGUGAAAUGCGCAGAUAUCAGGAGGAACACCGGUGGCGAAGGCGGUUCUCUGGGCAUUACCUGACGCUGAGGAGCGAAAGUGUGGGGAGCGAACAGG